GAAUUUUGGACAAUGGGCGAAAGCCUGAUCCAGCAAUGCCGCGUGCAGGAUGAAGGCCUUCGGGUUGUAAACUGCUUUUGUACGGAACGCAAAGCUUUGGGUUAAUACCCUUGAGUCAUGCCGGUACCUUAAGAAUAAGUCCCGGCUCACUACGUGCCCGCCUCCGCGGUAAGACGUGGGGUGCAAGCGUUAAUCGGAAUUACUGGGCGUAAAGCGUGCGCAGGCGGUUUUGUAAGACAGAGGUGAAAUCCCCGGGAUCAACCUGGGAACUGCCUUUGUGACUGCAAGGCUAGAGGACGGCAGAGGGGGGUGGAAUUCCGCGUGUAGCAGUGAAAUGCGUAGAUAUGCGGAGGAACACCGAUGGCGAAGGCAACCCCCUGGGCCUGUACUGACGCUCAUGCACGAAAGCGUGGGGAGCAAACAGG
RNAcentral lists this ribosomal RNA (425 nucleotides) under uncultured bacterium. Its description in RNAcentral is "partial 16S ribosomal RNA". It matches the Rfam family "Bacterial small subunit ribosomal RNA", at positions 359 to 776 of the family's 1533-position model. The record is from RNAcentral.